Molecule: long non-coding RNA, 2081 nt
Filed under: Gallus gallus (chicken)
Lineage: Eukaryota; Metazoa; Chordata; Aves; Galliformes; Phasianidae
Description: lncRNA (ENSGALG00010019858.1)
Source: RNAcentral
GUUGCAGGGAAAAAGAAAUCCUUGCAUCUCCAAGAGCAGGGUUCUAGUUGCACCACAAGAAAGUGAUUUCUCAGUACCACUGGAAUGUGGUUUCUAGUACAGAAUUUCUGCUUACAGUAUUCUCCUGUCAUCUGUUGUAUUUAAAGAAUGAAAUUAAAGGAGGAAAUAUUUUGUUAUUAUAGAUCAAAUAAAUUAAGUCCCAGUUAAAUUAAUAGCUUGUUGAGUUAUCCAUAAGACAUUUUAUUUUUCUUUGUGUCUCAUUCAUACAAAGUAGUAUAAAUGUUGCUCUAAUGGCUAUUAGCAUGUGAUGCAACACAUACUGUUUUUGUAGGGCAGUGCCAAAAAGAUAGUUCUUCUAGAGCAAAAUUAUGUGGCCAAGAGACUUUAGAAAUGCCAAUUCAGUGUUUUCCAAGCUGUGUUCUUAUUACUGUGACUGUUAUGAAAAAGAAAGGAGGAGAAAAAAAAAAAAGAGAGGGAAACAAAACCACAUAACUGGUGUGGUUUUAGCAUUUGGAGAUAAAACAAACUAACAAAAAUAAACCAAACAAACUGAAAGCCCACCUCACAGUGUAGCAAUUGUAUGUGUUAGGACUUUGUGCUUUGAGGGAAGAAGUAACCUUGCUAUGCAACACCAGCCUAACGCAGUAAGGACUUUCCUUCCCCAGAGCCCAACAACAAAGGCAAUGGAGUAAAAAUCCUGAUCUGUUCUGUGGGUUACUAAUAGAUCUUUGUGUUCCCAAAGAAAAUAGAGCCUUUGGCAGAAACUAUAAUCUGUCAAAAGCUUUUUGGAGGAAUAGAAGGCUCAGAGGGAAGCUGGGAAGGAAAACUGGGGAAAAAGAUGCAGUGUGGGUAUCUCUGUUGCUCGGUAGCUUGAAGGUCAAUUUUGCAUUGUAAAGCAAGGCUCUGGACUUACAGUCCUCAGCUUGACUGCAUCUUCCUGAAGGAAUAGGGGAAGAGUCCGUGCUUGGAGAUACUCCUGCCCCCGUGCUGAUGGUUUGAUCCUACCAGAGAAAUAGGUGAAAAGCAGUGCUGAGGGAAAGCACCAUCCAGUUUUGAUGAGUGGAGAACAUCAUACUAAGGGAAUUCUGCACUUCAGUGUGUAGUCUACUUCUCUUCUGAUAGUACAAUCACAAACAUCCGUUUGGUUACAGCUUUUACUGGAAGUGGGCAAAUUGGCAGAAAAACCUUAAGGCGGUGCCAAGCCAAGGCAUCUGGUUUGCUUCCACAUGUCCAAACACCAGUAAUACCUAUAAAGCUAUCUACAGACAUGUAAGAUACAAAAAUAUAUUAAGUGGUAUACAUGUUAAAGUUGUUGCUGAGAAAUAAUGACAGUAAUUAUUUUCACCGGCUCUUUCUUUUCUUUGGCAUGCCCACAUCUGUGAGCCUGGAGACAAGUCAGACCUGGAAAAUGUGUUGGAGUUUGGAUUUCAGAUUAACCACCUUCUCAGCAGUCCUUUGGCAACAGGUUGGAUCCAAUAACUGAUGUAUAUUGUGGUUUUGGUAUGGACCUCAUGAGUCGGGAGCUGCAGAAGUUACCUUCCUCAAAUUAACUUCAGAGUAAGUCUUCCCUGGAUGGGACGAUAUAGAAUUAUGGUUCUAUUUAAAACCAAGAAUGGAAGAUUAAUACUGACAAUUACAACUACCAGUUGAAUCUAUUUCAGUAUUUGUUGGCACGGGUGACUGCUCUCCGUCCUUUCCCAACUCAGCCAGACAAACUCAUUUGUAAUUAACAGAUUGGUGGCUGAAAAAAAAUCUAUUCACCUCACCAGUUUUGAUGUUUUAGAAAGGCUUACACAGAAAAGAGGAUAAUAUCUGGGUUGCAUUCCAUGGAUAUCCUCACAUAUCCUGAGCACAGAAGAGAAGUAGUAUGUAGUAUAAACCGGUGUCUAAAAGUUUAAAGACUUCUCAUUAGUGCUUUCUAAGAUAUUAUUUUGUGGCAACUGUCCUUUUUUUUUCUUUUCAGGAUGUUGUUGUGAUUUAACUAGAGAACUUGUCUCAUUUUAGAAUAAUAUUAAGUUCUUAUCACUUGACUGUAUGUCUACAUGUAGAUUUUGGGCAUUUAAAUUAAAGGAUCAUGUCGC